GAUGAACGCUGGCGGCGUGCCUAACACAUGCAAGUCGAACGGUCUUACUGGAGCUUGCUCCUGUAAGAUAGUGGCGGACGGGUGAGUAACACGUGGAUAACCUGCCCUUUGCAAAGGGAUAACAACCAGAAAUGGUUGCUAAAACCUUAUAAGCUCACGAGAUGGCAUCAUCAAGUGAGAAAAUAUUUAUAGGCAAAGGAGGGGUCCGCGUCUGAUUAGCUAGUUGGAGGGUAACGCCACCAAGGCGACGAUCAGUAGCCGGCCUGAGAGGGUGAACGGCCACAUUGGGACUGAGACACGGCCCAAACUCCUACGGGUGGCAG
This 323-nucleotide ribosomal RNA is filed under the name uncultured Bacillota bacterium. RNAcentral's name for it is "bacterial SSU rRNA". It matches the Rfam family "Bacterial small subunit ribosomal RNA", at positions 28 to 351 of the family's 1533-position model. Lineage: Bacteria; Bacillati; Bacillota. The record is from RNAcentral.